ACAGCCUUGUCUAGGAGCUCAGGGAUGAGCCGGGGACCACCACUUUUUUCCAGUACUGGAUUGCCUUUUACUGUCUUUUUGUUGGGCCACGCAGAUGAAUCGAGCAUCGUUAAUGAGAAUUUUAUAAAAUUGUAGUCCACGCAGCAAUUUGAUCAACUGUCCGCCUGAUUUUGAGGACAGGCUGUCAACUGCCACGUUUUACCUCAACACCUCUCCUGUGCAAAUGUAGGGAAUGUGCUGCUCUGCAGCUAAAACUGGAAAUUAAAUCAACAGAUGAACAAAUAAAGAUGUUCAACUUUC
Austrofundulus limnaeus is the source of this 300-nucleotide long non-coding RNA. RefSeq lists it as uncharacterized. The record is from RefSeq and is a predicted model, not a curated record. NCBI's taxonomy places the organism in Eukaryota, Metazoa, Chordata, Actinopteri, Cyprinodontiformes, Rivulidae. The transcript has 2 exons.